CCUACGGGGUGCAGCAGUGGGGAAUAUUGGGCAAUGGAGGAAACUCUGACCCAGCAAUGCCGCGUGAAUGAAGAAGGUCUUCGGAUUGUAAAGUUCUUUAGUCAGGGAAGAAGGCAAUGACGGUAACGGAAGAAUAAGCUCCGGCUAACUACGUGCCAGCAGCCGCGGUAAUACGUAGGGAGCAAGCGUUGUGCGGAAUGACGGGGCGUAAAGGGUGCGUAGGCGGUUGUACAAGUUAGAAGUGAAAUACCCAGGGCUUAACUCGGGUGCUGCUUCUAAAACUGUAUGACUUGAGUGCAGUAGAGGUUAGUGGAUUUCCUAGUGUAGCGGUGGAAUGCGUAGAUAUUAGGCGGCACCCCAGCGGCGAAGGCGGCUAACUGGACUGCAACUGACGCUGAGGCACGAAAGUGUGGGGAGCAAACAGGAUUAGAUACCCGGGUAGUC
This 444-nucleotide ribosomal RNA is filed under the name uncultured bacterium. RNAcentral's name for it is "partial 16S ribosomal RNA". It matches the Rfam family "Bacterial small subunit ribosomal RNA", at positions 338 to 795 of the family's 1533-position model. The record is from RNAcentral.